ACUCCUACGGGUGGCGGCAGUGGGGAAUAUUGCACAAUGGGCGCAAGCCUGAUGCAGCGACGCCGCGUGGGGGAUGACGGCCUUCGGGUUGUAAACUCCUUUCGCCAGGGACGAAGCGUUUUGUGACGGUACCUGGAGAAGAAGCACCGGCUAACUACGUGCCAGCAGCCGCGGUAAUACGUAGGGUGCAAGCGUUGUCCGGAAUUACUGGGCGUAAAGAGCUCGUAGGUGGUUUGUCACGUCGUCUGUGAAAUUCCACAGCUUAACUGUGGGCGUGCAGGCGAUACGGGCUGACUUGAGUACUGUAGGGGUAACUGGAAUUCCUGGUGUAGCGGUGAAAUGCGCAGAUAUCAGGAGGAACACCGAUGGCGAAGGCAGGUUACUGGGCAGUUACUGACGCUGAGGAGCGAAAGCAUGGGUAGCAAACAGGAUUGGAUACCCUGGUAGUCCAUGCCGUAAACGGUGGGCGCUAGGUGUAGGGGCCUUUUGGGGUUUCUGUGCCGUAGCUAACGCAUUAAGCGCCCCGCCUGGGGAGUACGGCCGCAAGGCUAAAACUCAAAGGAAUUGACGGGGGCCCGCACAAGCGGCGGAGCAUGUGGAUUAAUUCGAUGCAACGCGAAGAACCUUACCUGGGCUUGACAUACACCGGAUCGCUGCAGAGAUGUAGUUUCCCUUGUGGCUGGUGUACGGGUGAUGCAUGGAUGUCGUCAGCUCGUG
Molecule: ribosomal RNA, 717 nt
Filed under: uncultured bacterium
Lineage: Bacteria
Description: bacterial SSU rRNA
Rfam family: Bacterial small subunit ribosomal RNA
Source: RNAcentral